AGAUGAAGAAAAAUAUUGCAUGAUUACUAUUCUGUCCAAUGAGUGUUUACUGCGAGGAAACAAAAUGACGGACGGCGGCCUGUGAUGAGUGUGAUUAAGUCGUAGUCCCUGAUCGAAUUAGAAGGCCAUGGCGUUAUAGAGGACAGAGGACAUUCCAGUACAGCUAUACACAGGAGGAAUCACGUAACCCUAGAAAUGUCAUCAUCUUAAUCACCUUUACCAAGCCCCAAAAAUGGAAAACAGCAUUGUUACACAGUACAGUAGGAGCCUACGAUCUAGAUAUAGUCCACGUCUUAUACGUCCAAUGAAUGUCCUGCUUUGAAAAGCCUCCAUGACAGAGGAGGACGCCACAGACCUGUUACACCAGAGGACUGUCUCUCUCAGUGUGCCCGUCCAUUCAGGUCACCCGCUGGAAAAAAAUAUGAAUGUUUUUCAUCCAUAUUAAAAGUCCUCUCUGUAGCUCCCUUUGGGGGAGUGCUUCACCCCUUCAACAUUGUGGAGGGAGAGUGGUUAGUAUUCCGAUUGAUAGAUUACAAGGCUAUAAUCUCACCUCUUGAAAGGCACACAGUGUUGUAGGGAUGGGAUGCCACAGUGGGAGAUAAAAGGAUCUUCAUGUCUAGAGCAUUGGGCUGAUUUAAAUAUAAGCAAUGCUAAAACACAAAGUAGAAUAGAGACGAGUUGAAGAAUAUAUUAAUUUUCAAAUAUGAGCAAAGUGUAGCCUAUUCCACUGUGACCAGUUUCGGCCCAGUUUGGGAAACAUGUUUGAUUUAAAUGUGUUUUUUAAAUAUCUGAAUAAGUCUAGGUUGGCUCUGUCUUGUGGUUAAGUAAUGCAUUAAUACUAAGUAUAGUUAAUUACAAUAAAUUGAGUCCAUGUUUUAUGCACAAGGGUAAACAGAAGAGCAGAUUAUACAGUAUUUUAAAAAUAAAUCUAAGUAUAUUGGAAUUUUUUGGAUCAAAAUCUUAUUGUUAGAUCUUGUAAAUCAUAUUAAUAUGAUUGAAGAUUAAAUUAACAUUAUACAUUCAUUUAAAAUUAAAACAGCUCUCUAUAUUGUCAUAACUGGUGAAUGAACAAUAGCAGUAUCAAAGGCAGGUAAGAUAGCUUCAUAAAUCAUAUUCAGGGCUAAAAUAUUUGAGUCCAAAUUUGAUACUUCCCAUUGAAUUGUUUGUUUCAUAGGUACCUACCUAUAGGCCAAUAUGAAGUCAUGAGUUUUAACCAGAAAUUCAUUUGAGUUCUCUCCUUUCAAUCCCACUCCCGUUUACUGACAAGGGAGUCUAGGACAUUUGUCUGUGUCUGUAAUAAGCUUGUGGUUUUACAUAUUGCACAAGUAAGGAUGUUUGAUUUGUAACUCCAAAGUCUAUCAAGAGAUAUUUACGCCUGGU
RNAcentral lists this long non-coding RNA (1380 nucleotides) under Salmo salar (Atlantic salmon). Its description in RNAcentral is "lncRNA (ENSSSAG00000113757.1)". The record is from RNAcentral. Lineage: Eukaryota; Metazoa; Chordata; Actinopteri; Salmoniformes; Salmonidae.